UUCAAGCAGUUCUAAUAUAAUUUGACCACAACAUAUUUCACCUCAUCUCAUUUAUUAAUAUAUCAAGAAGGUAAUACUCAAAAAUUUGAAUGUCAGUUUUUUUUACACUUUAAGUCAGUGGUCAAAACAUUUAUAUUUUUCUCUUUUAUUAUUGUUGCUAUGUAGUUGUUUUAUCUGUUGUUGGACCAGCAGCACAAAACAACUAAUAUUUUUAAAAAUAGAUAUAACAACAAAUUCUAAUUUUAGCUAAUAGGCUCUUAUUUUUUUUCUUAUAUUUUAAGAAUAAUUAUACUUGAUGUUCACAACAGAAUGACAGUAAAAGUACCAGUUGUUUUUAUUUACAUCUAUUUUGUUAGUAGGCUGGAAACAAUGUGUAAAUAUCAAAAUCAGCAUCUUUUUGAAAACGUUCUAUGUUUUCUUUAUAAAACUAAGAAUAGAAAUAAAAUAAUUGCAUUUUGAAAAUGAUAAGGAUCUACUAUUUAUCAGAAAUGAUACAAUAUCUUAUGACUCUACGUUUGUCUUAUUAGCUUGUUUGAGCACAAAAUUGCUCUUUGGCUUGUAAAGCUUGCAGCCUCCUAAUAUAGAGUAUAAAGAAAAUACAAUGUCUAUAUAGAAUACAUCCAUAGACACUCUAUAAAUAAAUAGUAUACAGUAUUGCACAUAUUUUAAGAUAACAUUUCUUUCUAUUUUGUACCUAUCAACAUUCAGAGUGAAAGUUUUAACAGCCCAUCCACAGCAGGAGGAAACAAGUUGUUCCUGUGAGUCUGUAUUCUUCCUAAUAGAUCGACUAUCAUGGGAUCUGAUUAUCUUCUACCGCUUUAGUCACUCGCUGUAAGACACUGUGGUGACCAAAAUUUCACUAUUUGUUGCAUUUUCAGCUGGUAAGUUUCACCUUCACACUGCACCGUCAAACACCUGUUCCCCUUCCCGCCUGUGGUGGCGCUGCACCAAGAACCACCUGAAGGAAAUUAAAUUAAAACCUCUGAAGAAGACAUGAGCACAACUUCCUCCUUCGCAAAAAGUAAACAAAAAUGGGGUAGCGUCAGAUUUAACGGUUGUUGGAUUUCUCUCUUUUUUUAGAAGACCAUGACCAAUUUCUCCCGCUGGUGCAAAAUUCGCAUAUUUGUUUUGGUUGUAUUUAACCAGAAUGCACUGCGCUGUAGUUCGCUUCCUGGUCCACUUGGCGCGUUCACAUGCGCGUUCAAACCACUCCAGACUUCGUUUCAACCAAGCAGAGACCUAGGUUUUUAGGCGGACAAGAGUUCAAUUACUGGACUUUCCAGGAAAAUGAGCCAGCGUUCGGUUGAAGCGGUCUAAACCGGGCUGGUGUGAAAGUACCCAGAGAUGUAGGGAAUUUGGAAACUACUGGACCUGAUUUUCUGGUGUACAGUGCUGAGGCUCAAGGUGAGGUCAUCUAACGAGAUGUUUAAAGCUGCUCAUUUUUUCCACUUGCUUACCAUUUCUGCUCUUUUCCUGAAAUUUAACAUCAUGUCUUUCUUCUUCUUUGUAUUUAAGAUCAGAUCGUUCUGCUUGCACCAGUCUGCCAAAUCUCCUCUCUGCAGGCCACUGAUAUUGAUGCGGCUCCGUCAUCUGUGAAUCUAAACAUGAAGUUUGCUUAUUUUGGGAGCCAGAAAAGCAGUGAGGAGGCAGUGGAUGGAUGUUUUCUUUCCGUGACAGCGACACUGAGCUGCGUUCGCUGUAAUCCUCCCUGCUGUUGUGACUGACAGCCACAGGUUUUAGCUACACACCUUCCUAUGGAAUUCUGUUGACUGGAAGAAAACUUGCCACCCUAACCGCCGCGGCCCAUCACAGCGUUGAGCUCAUCACAACCACAAACCCAUGGGAAACUCUUUUUAUCCCUCGCUUUUCGCCUGCAUUUGUGUUUGUAAAGCACAAAUAUCACUUUUCACAAAAAAAAUGUCUAAAAUGUACAUUUAUAUCAGCUGGAGAAAAUGAAUUGAUUUAGGUGUUAACAGCUCAUAAAAUCCACCACUUGACUUCAGAGACAGAAGAUGAUUAACAGUGCUAUAAAUAUCUCAAUAUAUGCUAAAAAAAACAAACAAACAAAGAA
Long non-coding RNA from Xiphophorus couchianus (Monterrey platyfish), 2071 nucleotides. RefSeq lists it as uncharacterized. The record is from RefSeq and is a predicted model, not a curated record. NCBI's taxonomy places the organism in Eukaryota, Metazoa, Chordata, Actinopteri, Cyprinodontiformes, Poeciliidae. The transcript has 2 exons.